This 502-nucleotide ribosomal RNA is filed under the name uncultured bacterium. RNAcentral describes it as "bacterial SSU rRNA". It matches the Rfam family "Bacterial small subunit ribosomal RNA", at positions 30 to 504 of the family's 1533-position model. The record is from RNAcentral.
UGAACGCUGGCGGCGUGCUUAACACAUGCAAGUCGUACGAGAACGCUCUAGCUUGCUAGAGCAAGUAAAGUGGCGCACGGGUGAGUAACGCGUGGGUAAUCUACCUUCGAAUUGGGGAUAACGUUGCGAAAGCGACGCUAAUACCGGAUGACAUCCAUUUAUCUUCGGAUUUUUGGAUCAAAGGUGGCCUCUACAUGUAAGCUACUGUUUGGGGAUGAGCCCGCGUACCAUUAGCUUGUUGGUGGGGUAACGGCCUACCAAGGCAACGAUGGUUAGCUGGUCUGAGAGGAUGAUCAGCCACACUGGAACUGACACACGGUCCAGACUCCUACGGGAGGCAGCAGUGAGGAAUUUUGCGCAAUGGGGGAAACCCUGACGCAGCAACGCCGCGUGAGUGAUGAAGGCUUUCGGGUCGUAAAGCUCUGUCAAGUGGGAAGAACCUAUAUAAUGUUAAUACCAUUAUAUACUGACGGUACCACUGAAGGAAGCACCGGCUAACUCC